This 253-nucleotide ribosomal RNA is filed under the name uncultured bacterium. RNAcentral's name for it is "partial 16S ribosomal RNA". It matches the Rfam family "Bacterial small subunit ribosomal RNA", at positions 524 to 776 of the family's 1533-position model. The record is from RNAcentral.
UACGGGGGGGGCAAGCGUUGUUCGGAAUUACUGGGCGUAAAGGGCUCGUAGGCGGCCAACUAAGUCAGACGUGAAAUCCCUCGGCUUAACCGGGGAACUGCGUCUGAUACUGGAUGGCUUGAGAUUGGGAGAGGGAUGCGGAAUUCCAGGUGUAGCGGCGAAAUGCGUAGAUAUCUGGAGGAACACCGGUGGCGAAGGCGGCAUCCUGGACCGGCAUUGACGCUGAGGCGCGAAAGCCAGGGGAGCAAACGGG